UCUGAUUGGGGGAAAAAGCUACUAGAGCCUGGGAUAGUGCUUGGGGUGUGCAAAAAACCCCUGGGAUCCGAUUUGGAUAUGGAUAGAGACCUCUUUAAUGUUUUUAAUGAAGUAAAUACUAAUUGGAAUGGUGUGAUCAUGGGAGACUUUAACUUCCCAGAUAUAGACUGGAGGACAAAUGCUAGUAGUAAUAAUAGGGCUCAGAUUUUCCUGGAUGUGAUAGCUGAUGGAUUCCUUCACCAAGUAGUUGCUGAACCAACAAGAGGGGAUGCCAUUUUAGAUUUGGUUUUGGUCAGUAGUGAGGACCUCAUAGAAGAAAUGGUUGUAGGGGACAACCUUGGUUCGAGUGAUCAUGAGUUAAUUCAGUUCAAACUAAAUAGAUCUGUGACUAGGGUUUUUGAUGUCAAAAGGGCUAACUUUAAAAAAUUAAGGAAAUUAGUUAGGGAAGUGGUUUGGACUGAAGAACUUGUGGAUCUAAAGGUGGAGGAGACCACGUCAAGUCAAGUCAAGGAGACCUUACUUCAAGUCAAGGUUGCAGAAACUAUCAGAAGUCUGCAUCCCAAGAAAGGGAAAAAAAUCAUAGGCAGGAGUUGUAGACCAAGCUGGAUAAGCAAGCAUCUCAGAGAAGUGAUUAAGAAAAAGCAGAAAGUCUACAGGGAGUGGAAGAUGGGAGGGAUCAGCAAGGAAAGCUACCUUAUUGAGGUCAGAACAUGUAGGAAUAAAGUGAGAAAGGCCAAAAGCCAUGUAGAGUUGGACCUUGCAAAGGGAAUUAAAACCAAUAGUAAAAGGUUCUGUAGCCAUAUAAAUAAGAAGAAAACAAAGAAAGAAGAAGUGGGACCGCUAAACACUGAGGAUGGAGUGGAGGUUAAGGAUAAUUUAGGCAUGGCCCAAUAUCUAAACAAAUACUUUGCCUCAGUCUUUAAUGAGGCUAAUGAGGAGUUUAGGGAAAAUGGUAGGAUGACAAAUGGGAAUGAGGAUAUGGAGGUAGAUAUUACCACAUCUGAGGGAGAAGCCAAACUCGAACAGCUUAAUGGGACUAAAUUGAGGGGCCCAGAUAAUCUUCAUCCAAGAAUAUUAAAGGAACUGGCACAUGAAAUUGCAAGCCCNNNNNNNNNNNNNNNNNNNNNNNNNNNNNNNNNNNNNNNNNNNNNNNNNN
RNAcentral lists this long non-coding RNA (1156 nucleotides) under Chrysemys picta bellii (western painted turtle). RNAcentral's name for it is "lncRNA (ENSCPBG00000007715.1)". Lineage: Eukaryota; Metazoa; Chordata; Testudines; Emydidae. The record is from RNAcentral.